GCGGGCGUUCCCGUGGCCGGAAGAGAGGGGCGCGGGGGGGCCGGUGGUUUUUACUUUUACUGUCGGUAAGCGGCAUCGUCGUCCCUCCAGUGACCCCGGCCACGGCCCGGGAAAGCAGGCCGGAGUGGCCCGGCCGUCCGGCCCCGCGGAGUCACCGCGACGAGCCGAGUCCCCGUCGUUACUCCCGGUUCCCCUCGCUCACACCCUCCCUUCUCCCCCCCGCCCUCUGACACUGUCCUCGCAAAGCCCUGAAUGCAGCCUCCUCCCUGAGUCCUCUGCACCUGAACCUGAGAGGAGAGGCUUCCGGCCGGGAGGAAUGCGCAUCCUGUAGGAUUUCAAUCCAUUCCGAGAUGUCCACGCUCAUUUUUAGUCAGAAUAUGGUGUCUCCUGGCCGAUGUCACACGUGCUCCUGUAAACCCUGUGCAUCCUGCUUUGUUUGGGUGCAGUGCUGUGUCCCGCAGGGGAUUGGCUCACACACUUAUGGAGGCUGAGAAGUCCUGACAUCCUCAAUGAGCAGCAACCUGGACACCCGGGAGAGCCAUUGUUGUAAUUCAGUCUGAGUCCAAGUCCAAAGGCAGGAGAAGACCGAUGGCCCAGCUCGGAGGCAAUCAGGCAAGAGGAACCCCUUCUUACUCAAGGGAGAGUCAGCCUUUUGUUCUGUUCCGGCUUUGGAUGAGGCUUGUCCUCAUCAGGGAGGGUAAUCUGCUUCGUGAACUAAAAUGUUAAUCUUAUGGAGACACGCCCUUAUAGAAACGCUCAGAACAAUGUUUGGCCAAAUAUACGGGCACCCUGUGGACCAGUCAGGUUGACACAUAAGAUCAGCCAUCACAACUAAGACCGUCACGUGAGGCAGGAUAGCAGGGUGUUGGCAUGUCCUGGCCUUAGAAGCCAGGAAUGAAUCCUGCUCCAUCACUUACUAGAUUGAAAUCCUGAAAGUGACUGAAUGUGUAUGUGCCUCAGUUUACUCAUUACAAAAGUGUGGUUAACAAGAAUACCCAUCUCGUAGGGAUCGGGUGAGAAUUGCUUGAAUUCGAACGUGGAAUAAUUGGGUUUUAAGUAUUUCAUGUAGAUAAUUAUUAAAUUCACAUGAAAACAGUUACAUGACUAUUGUAAUACUCUCUUCACCCAGGAUAAAGUAUAACUGGCCAGACUUGAGCUUUCCCAUUUAUGGCCAGGUCUCUGAUAUGCCUCCCUGAGAUUUCACUCCACUGACUUUGAUCCCGAGAAGAGUCACACGUUUCUAGACACAGUUCUGUUAGUCUGUGAGCAGCUAACCUUGUCUGUCAUGUAUGGGUUUUGUGUGCUUAACCUGACAGGAUAAUUCUUUUUCUUUGGGUUUCACGGGUUGGGUUGUUCAGUGGCUGUAUGAGCAGCAUGAACCAGAUGUAGAAAUUCAAGGUAGGAACAGUCAUUAGUGGCUGGGUGACCUGUCUUUAGAUGACUAGUAGCUUAAUCAGAAAUUAUUUGACCUGAAACUGUCUGAGGAAUGUCCAAGGGAUUUUUUUUAAUGGAGUUAUUUUUGAAAAGGGACUCUAAGAAAGUUUACUCUGAAGUUCCAUAGCAACGAAAAGCCUUUUUGAAGUUAAUAAUCAUUCUUUUUUUUUUAAGGUUUUAUUUAUUUUUGAGACAUAGCAUGAGCAGGGGAGGCACAGAGAGAGAGGGAGACAGAGACUCCGAAGCAGGCUCCAGGCUCUGAGCUGUCAGCACAGAGCCGGAUGUGGGGCUCCAACCCACAAGCUGUGAGAUCAUGACCUGAGCCAAAGUCCGAUGCUCAGCCGACUAAGCCACAUUAAUAAUCAUUCUUAUCUGAAAUCUCAUUCAGUCUGUACACUGUAACUCUUUCCCAGGGUGCACUUGAUCUUGGCCAACUAGCUUUGGUUCAUUAUGAAGAGGAUGCUAAACACUGCUUUCACCUUAAAUUCUUAAAAAAAAAUUAAAGAAGUUAAAGUUAAAAAAUGAAAAACCUCUAUCCUAAGUCUUUCUAAAAUCUACGCUUCUCAAAAAUCACGGAGCCUGGUCUUAAACUUUGUAGAGGAGUCUAGGUCUUUGAGACUGACUUACAUCGGUGUAGGAAAAAAUACGACACAUAGAUGUUGCUUUCCCAAGUGAGCAGGUUAAAACAUUGAAACACAUUACCAGUUCAUUCUCGUAAAUAAUUUAAAAUCAACUAAAAACUAAUUAACUGGAUUUUUUUUUUUUUUUUUAAGAAGGAAGAGGGGCACCUGAGGGGCUCAGUCAGUUAAGCAUCUGAUGCUUGAUUUUGGCUCAGGUCAUGAUCUCACGGUUCAUGAGUUCGAGCCUGCAUUGGGCUCAGCUCUGAAAGUGCAGAGCCUGCUUGGGAUUCUCUCUCUCCCUCUCUCUGCCACUACCCUGCUCGCACUCUCUCUCUCAAAAUAAGUGAGUAAACUUAAAAAACAUUUUUAAAAAAGGAGGAAAGUUAUGGCGCAGACCCUGAAGUCAGACUCUCAGGCCCAGGAUGUACUAUUUACUAAGUUCUGUUAGCCUCCGUGAGUGUCAUUUUAUUCCCAUGGAAUCUGAAAAAAUACAGUGUAUACUUCACAAGGUGUGGUGUAGUGACGAGGAAUAAAAAAAAAAAAAAUACAGUAUACAAAUGACUUAUAGUGAGAAACAGAGCAAGUACAUUUACAAGUGUUUCCUUUGUUUAUUUGCAAAACAGCCUUUGUGUGGUACUUAUAAGGUCUAAGAUUAUAGUGAAUACAUAAAAAUUUUUAUGGGAAAUUUCUGUAGCUUUGGAUAAAGGUGCUAAGUCAAAUAGUCAAGAGAUGCCAGAAUUGAGUUUUGUAUCAGGAAUCUCAAGGGACUUGGUGAUGGAGACACAGUGGUGAUGUUGCACAAUUAAAGUGAGGAGAGUGAACGAGGAAAUAUCUCAGGUUCCUCGCAUCUUCAAAAUUUGGAGCACAAUUCACCACCCACCGGGGUUGUCCUAAUAGUUGCAAACCUUUCACCUCCCUACAGCUUUGUCUGCGUUUUGACGAAUGGCCACUAGAGGGCAGGAGAACCAAACUGAAGCCGCCAGGCGGGUCUCCCAAGAUUGGAACCGUGCGUGUUGGGGGGAAUAUUCUCAACUAACAGGGAACUUUUACCAUACACGUCUGUUUCCGAAAUAAAUAAAUCCAUCUCCACAAAGUCACCAAACAUUCCCAAGCUCGGGCGAAGCACAUUCUAAAUAGUCCUCUACUUGAUUUACAAUUUGUGAAUUUUUUUCUCUAUAUUUAUCUGUAAAUAACAGUAAAGCGAUUAUUUCUGAAAUGCUGUCUGUUAAAAAGUACAUGUUAACCCCAUGUUAUUGGCUCUU
Long non-coding RNA from Neofelis nebulosa (Clouded leopard), 3316 nucleotides. RefSeq lists it as uncharacterized. The record is from RefSeq and is a predicted model, not a curated record. NCBI's taxonomy places the organism in Eukaryota, Metazoa, Chordata, Mammalia, Carnivora, Felidae. The transcript has 2 exons.